GAGGCUUUAGUAUAUUUUAGUAUAACUUAUUUUCAAUAAGUGGGUUUUAAGUCUUAU
Molecule: transfer RNA, 57 nt
Filed under: Macropicola ocydromi
Lineage: Eukaryota; Metazoa; Nematoda; Chromadorea; Rhabditida; Strongylidae
Description: tRNA-Glu
Source: RNAcentral